UACCAUAAUUUUUUUUUUUUUUUUUUUUGUUCGUAUAUAUUAUCUUCACUGAAUAUUUUUUCUCUUUUUUUCUUUUUUUCUUUUUUUCUUUUUUCUUUUUUUUGACAAAUUAUAACGUUUUCUUAUCUCUCUAUCUAACGAAAUAAAUAUAUAUCUUUUUACAUAAUAAAUAUUAUUUUCUACUUUAUUCAUUAUGUCGAUAUUUUGCAUUAAAAGUUUAAAAUAAAUGUAGAAAAAAAAAAAAAGAGGACUUUUUUUUUUUUUUUUUUUUUUGCUUCUAUUUCAUUUACUCCCUGUUGAUCGUACAUUAUUUGUACAUAUAUACAAAUGAGUAUAUAAAUAAAUAAUAACUAAAAUGAUUAACUUCAACUUUUUUUUAGAACUUUUUUUUAGAACUUCUUUUUAGUACUUUUUUUAGUACUUUUUUUAGUACUUUUUUUAGUACUUUUGUUUAGUACUUUUUUUUUUUUUAUGUUCAUACUUUUUUUAAUUAAUUUUUAAGUACAUUUUUAAGCGCUCUUUUUUUUUACAAUUUUCACAAUAUAUAUAUAUAUAUAUAUAUAUAUAUAAUUGUAUUUUUUUGUUUUUUUAUUUACUACAAAUGAGUAGAAAAAAACAAAAAAAAAAAAAAAACGCUUAAGGAUGAAUAAGGUUCAAGAGGAAGGAAAAACAAAAGACUCUUUAGUUCAAACGUUUUGUGGCUCUAUCAUUGCCACAACUGUAAGCAGAGUUGUUCUUUACCCUCUCGAUACAAUUAAAGUAAAUAAGCAAGUACAUAUGAACAUAACAAAUAACAGUUAUAAUGAAAAUAGUACAGGAAAAACUUUUAUAAAAAAACAUAUUAAAUGUUUUCUACUUUCACAUAUUAGAAGUUAUGGUUUAAAGA
Molecule: long non-coding RNA, 886 nt
Organism: Piliocolobus tephrosceles (Ugandan red Colobus)
Lineage: Eukaryota; Metazoa; Chordata; Mammalia; Primates; Cercopithecidae
Source: Ensembl